RNAcentral lists this ribosomal RNA (253 nucleotides) under uncultured bacterium. RNAcentral describes it as "partial 16S ribosomal RNA". It matches the Rfam family "Bacterial small subunit ribosomal RNA", at positions 524 to 776 of the family's 1533-position model. The record is from RNAcentral.
UACGUAGGGUCCGAGCGUUGUCCGGAAUUACUGGGCGUAAAGAGCUCGUAGGUGGUUUGUCGCGUUGUUCGUGAAAACUCACAGCUCAACUGUGGGCUUGCAGCCGAUACGGGCGGGCUGGAGUUCGGUAGGGGAGACUGGAAUUCCUGGUGUAGCGGUGAAAUGCGCAGAUAUCAGGAGGAACACCGGUGGCGAAGGCGGGUCUCUGGGCCGAUACUGACGCUGAGGAGCGAAAGCGUGGGGAGCGAACAGG